GAUCUUUUGUCAUAAAUGGAAGAAUAAUGACUGAUCAAAUACUUGGUUAUACUUUAUCACUAAAAAGUAAUUUACUUUAUACUUACUGUACUUCUCUGUAUUUCACUAUACUUUAUUCAGUUUUACCUUGAUCAUCUAAACUCAGCUUUUUGGACACUGUUCUGAUUUUAUUCGGAUGUUGUGUGACGUUGGAAGCGCGCACUGCAUCACAUUUGUGGCGUGCAUAGAUGGGAGGAGGAUGGUGUUGAGUUCACCUGUCAUCAUCCAGCCCUGACCGAGGAUCAGCAGAGAAGGAAAAAAGGGCUUCAUGCAGAUUCAUCAGCUUUCCGUGCUCUCAAAGCUUUUAUUUGACAAGAAUCUCCUGCGUGACUUGAGGCAGAUGGCACGUUUCAAGCACACCGGAUCUCUGGAGGACUACCAUGCUUCAGUGCUGAAGUACACAGCUGGAAACCAUGGAUCAUACUGCCAACGUCAACAGACCACAGGCAAAAACAACGGAAGGAGAAUGUCGACACAGAUAUUCAUUCUGAAAACAAAGUGCAGAGUGGGUUGAAGGCCCAUCUAUGAACAUACCACGCAGACCUUCCGUAAUGAGCUCAUGGAGCGUGUCUUGAAGAGAAGAGAUGACACAACUGUUGUUUUCACAGAGCCUCUGCUCCGUCUCAAACCCCGCCGAACACUUCUUCGUAACAUUGCUCCUGCUCCGAGGCCUACACAAGCUGAUUUGCUCGCACGACAUAGUUCAAGGUUCAGACCUUACUAAAGAGGAUCCAAUAUUAUGUUGAGGACAUUAUUCUUUAUGCUGCUUUGUGUGUGUACCGGGUUGAAAAUAAAGAGAUUGGAAAACAGUAGUUCUAAAAAUAAUUUAUUUUAGAUGAUACAGUGAAGUAUAACAGAGAAAUGUAUGUGUGCAGAAUAAUUU
Acanthochromis polyacanthus (spiny chromis) is the source of this 922-nucleotide long non-coding RNA. RefSeq lists it as uncharacterized. The record is from RefSeq and is a predicted model, not a curated record. Lineage: Eukaryota; Metazoa; Chordata; Actinopteri; Pomacentridae. The transcript has 3 exons.